Molecule: ribosomal RNA, 253 nt
Filed under: uncultured bacterium
Lineage: Bacteria
Description: partial 16S ribosomal RNA
Rfam family: Bacterial small subunit ribosomal RNA
Source: RNAcentral
UACGUAGGCAGCAAGCGUUGUUCGGAAUUACUGGGCGUAAAGAGUGUGUAGGCGGUGCUCUAAGUCUGUUGUGAAAUCUCCCGGCUUAACCGGGAGGGUGCGGCGGAAACUGGAGUGCUUGAGGGUGGGAGAGGUAAGCGGAAUUCCUGGUGUAGCGGUGAAAUGCGCAGAUAUCAGGAGGAACACCGGUGGCGAAGGCGGAUCUCUGGGCCUUACCUGACGCUGAGGCGCGAAAGCUAGGGGAGCGAACAGG